CCGGUAUUUCACUCUUGGAUCCCUGGUCCCAGGGAGAUGAGCUGCCUGGUGGGGCACCCUUCAACCAGGGUUCUAGCUGGCCCCCUCAUCAUGCCACAGAUGAUGUUGGCUGAGGAAGCCCCUGUGGAUUCCAGUGCAUGGGAUGUCGUCACCACAGGAAGACCGCUUGAGAAUCAGUGCCAUGGUACAGGGACUGUGAUCAAGGCCCCAGUGGCCCAUGAGCUGAUAGGGCCUGCCCCUUGAGAGAAAAUGCCAAUGACUACCAAAUAUAAGCCAAUCAAUCAGAACCCUGGUAUGGGAUGGCAGCAAGACAUUUUCAUGGGUUGUUGCUGGGGUGGGUCAAUGAUGAGACCUCAUAUUGUCUCAAGGAGAUGUUGAAGACUUAAAAAUCAUAUUCAGUAGAAUUACGCUAAGGUCCAGCCUAGUGACAGUGGGUCAAGAGGACCCUGGGAUAACCAGAUGUUUUCCAGGGGUGGUGACCCUAGAGAUUGAAGAUCUUUUUGCCCCCCAGGGGAGGUCAGUGUCUACAGGUAGGAGCAGCUGCCUGUGCUGGAUGCACCCAAAGUUCUUCCUCCUUUGGCUUGGUGUGUACUCCCUAAGUGUGAAUUACUAGGCAGCACUGGGUGCUUCUUUUUCACUCCCUUUCACCCCCUUGUGCCUUUCAGUGAGAUGUGCUGCCUGACAAGGCACCCUUGGUACUGGGGUUCUAGGUGAGUGGAUGUAGAAUGUCAUUAGGCCUGUGUGGGGCAUCCGGUGACCUGGGCAUGGACCCAGUGGGAGCCUGAGGGGUAGACUCAGAGAGAAACAGGGAGGCAGCCUCAUGCAGUGCUCCUGAGCGAGCUGUGCCUCUUUAAGCUCUUAGGUGCAAAACAACUCACGUGAACCAAUGGCCUGGUGCAGGGGAAAAGUGAGGAAUGGAAAGAAUUCCUGAGGGAGUGUUCAUGUGGGUCCAGUGCCUCAACAUUUCCUAGGUGGGCUGUAGUGGCUCUGGAUUGCCCAGCCUGUGUGACUGGAUGUGGGCAGACACUGAGGAAUAGGCCUCUAAGUGGAGCAGGACACAAAUUCACUAGGAGCCCCAGACCAAGGGAAACACGAAAGCAGUGAGGAGGUUUGCCUGGAAGCCUGGGAAAUUCACGUGGGUGGUGGUUAAGCUGGAGCCUAGGCUACACUAUUGCUCUGGCUGAUACCUGGUAGGGGGAUCCCAACCAGGUAUUCCCUAGAAAACUGUGCCAGGCAAGUAACAUGCCACUGAGUGCCUCAACCAGGGAUGGCUGCUCAAGGGCCACAUGAGUGCACCUCAGCCUCAGUUGAGUGCCUCAAGGAUGCCAGAGACCCUCCUGGGCAUGGGCUUCUUCUCCAUGGGAGUCUCCAAGUCCCCAGGGGAGGACUGCACCAUGGUACAGCCCCAUGACUGCACCAUCUUUGGGAUUUGUAUGUGAAUCCAGGGGACAGUGACCACAGCAGGAAUGUAUCUCCAAGUGGUAGAGAAUGAGCUUCCAGGAUGCAGUCUGUGCAUGCAGCCUGGCCCUCAGCACCCUGGCCUGGACUGGGAUGCCAUGUUUCUAGGGCUAGGACCAAAAGAGGGCCUCCUUGAGUGUGUCUCACAUGAUCAGUUUUCAAACGCCAAGGCUGUGCCAGUGCUUGCUUGUCCAGCCCAGGUACUGGCCUGGACCUGGGUCACUGGGGCAGGAUGGAGCAUUGGGGGAAGCCACAUCUCUCAGUGAGACCCAUCCUAUGUGUCCCUCUUGGUCCAGUUACCAACAGGUCCAGCCAUCCACACGUGAUGUGGGAGAAGCUUGUCAAAAUGCCACGCCUAGAGGGUGGGCUCCUAGGAAUUGAAACUGGGCUGGUAGGGCCAAAGCGUGCAUUGGAACCAGUGUACUCUACUGUUCCUACUGUCUGUUCACAGUUGUCACCUUCCCUGUCUAUAUAUGAUGUCACCAAAUGAUGCCCCUGUGAGUUUCACUACCAGGGUGGAAAGGGCUGUGAUUGAGGCCCAAGCAGCCCAUGAGCUGGAAGUGUCAUCCCUGUUGGAGUAGGAAACAUCCAUGACUUCCAAUGGUAAACUAAUCCAUGAAGGUCCUGAAUUUUGGUUGGUGAAGGGAUGUCCUUUGUAGUGGUUCCUGAGGUUGGGUCGAUGAUGAGACCUCAUACUGUCUUGAAGAGAGAUGAUGACUUAAAAAUCAUGCUCAAUAGGAUUACCCUGAGGCCCAGCUAGUGACAAUGGUGUAAGAAGACCCUGGGAUAACCAGGUGUUUUUAGGGGAGUAGACUCUGGGGACUGGCCACUUCCUGGCUUCACUGGUCAAGACAUACUCCAUAGACAGAAACUCCUUAUGUCGGAUGCACCAAGUUUCUUCUUCCUUAGGCUUGGUUUGUGCUGUCAGUUGCAGAGCCAUGCUGGGGGCUCCUUCCUCAGCUCCUUUCUUCCCCUUCUGUCUUUCAGUGAGUAGAGCAGCCUGGUGGGGCAACCUUUCAACAGACUUCACAGAUGAAGUCACGAAAAGAAGCCCCUGUGUGGUUCAGUGCCUCAGGGACAAGUGCUGUAUCAAAGCCUCAGUGGACCGUGAGCUGCUGGUGCCAGCCCCCUGGACC
Oryctolagus cuniculus (rabbit) is the source of this 2594-nucleotide non-coding RNA. The record is from RefSeq and is a predicted model, not a curated record. NCBI's taxonomy places the organism in Eukaryota, Metazoa, Chordata, Mammalia, Lagomorpha, Leporidae.